Molecule: long non-coding RNA, 1651 nt
Organism: Triplophysa rosa
Lineage: Eukaryota; Metazoa; Chordata; Actinopteri; Cypriniformes; Nemacheilidae
Exons: 2
Source: RefSeq, a predicted model, not a curated record
AUGUGAAAUGAGGACAUGACUGCAGCUGGCCAUGAGGCCCAAACCAGCAUGUCCAGUGCAAAAAGGCUUUGACUUUUUAAUUCUACUUAACAUUAUUUUAUUUAUCUGUUAUAUUGAAGAAACCUUUUUGAAGGACUUUGGUUUACUUAUGAGCACUUGAGCUUAAAUGAGACUUAGGGUGUUUGUAAUGACGUAGGUUAUGGUGUCGACCAUGAUUUGUUGCAAUUUUGAGGUGUUCAGUCUUAUUAUGAUUUAAGAAAAUAAAUGCGAUUGCUCACCUCACAAAUCAACUGUUUCUAGUUUUUCACUGAUGUGUCUCUUAAGUGUUGAGGACUAGUGCUGCUUUGAGCCUACAUUCAGUAUGAGUAAAAUACUCAAGUACUGUUAAAAUCAGAUACUCAAAGACUUUUACUGAAGUCGUUUUGGAAUUGGUGACUUGUAACUUGUAAUGGAGUAAUUUUCACUGCAAGGUAUCUGUACUUUUACUUAAGUAUGGUUUUCAGGUACUCUUUAACACUCUGCUAUUAAGUCUAUCUAGGAGUGAAUAGUGUUAGGGGGGUGGAGGGGAAGGUCUUACGAAAGGCGAGAGAUGUAUGGGUUUUGCUCCAGCGGGUAAGUGAAGGGUCAUAUGUGAGUCAGAAUAUCCGCUCUGAUAAAAGACUUUUGUUAAAUUAUGGCACUGUUAUAAAAUGUUAUAUUGACUGAAGUGUGGUUAUCUAAUCAGUAGUAAUGUUUUAUGAGUGGAUAUAUUGGGAAGUGUAUGAUAGACACAUUUGGUUUUGAAUAUUGCCCAAAAAUAAAAUAAAACCUGUAUACGACACAAAAGAAGAUAUUUUGAAAAAUGUCUCAGUGGUUUUGUGUCCAUAAGUCAAUGGAGGCCUAUGCUGUUUGGUUACCAAUGUUUGGAAAAAAAGUCUGUUCUGCAAAAGAAAGAAAGUCAUAUAGGUUUGGAAUGACAUUUGGAAUCAUUUUUAUUUCUGCUGAGCUAUACCUUUAAGGGAUGCUAAUAUAAACCAAAAUCCUUGAAGAUUAGAAGUCUUUGUUGUUGUUUUCAGGUGCAUAACAUUCUCCAGGAAGUUGUCAUGGGAGGGAUGGUGCUGGAAACGAACAUGAACGAAAUAGUCGCACAAGUGGAGCUGCAAAACAGAAUGGAGAAAUCCGAGGGUGGAUUGUCUGCAGCACCAGCUCGAGCUGUUUCGGCAGUGAAAAAUAUGAACCUUCCUGAAAUACCUCGAAACAUCAAUAUCGGGGACAUCAAUAUAAAAGUGCCCAGUCUAUCCCCAUUUUAAAGCUUCAUGUUACUUUUCAAUGUGGUCUGUGUUGUUAUUAAACCCUAACAUUCAUUGCCAUAGACUGUCUCCCUAAUGCCAUUUACAGACUCACGACUGACUGUAGUCACCAGGACCUUUAACCUGAGGACUGUUACAUUUCAUCUCAUCUUAGCACACUACAGGGUCCUUUCAUGUACAUUUAUUUCAAACUUUGAUUUGUAGCUGAACUCCUGUUUCGUUCAUAGGAUUGUUGUGUAUUUUGUCUUUGAUGUAGCAACAUUCCAUAAUACUGAUUUGUGUGCUGAAGUUUAUGCCAAUAACUGUAAAUGUUUUGCAUUAUUUAUAACGCAUGUUAAGUCAUUAAAACUGUGUUUUGUCAA